RNAcentral lists this ribosomal RNA (224 nucleotides) under uncultured bacterium. RNAcentral's name for it is "partial 16S ribosomal RNA". It matches the Rfam family "Bacterial small subunit ribosomal RNA", at positions 15 to 230 of the family's 1533-position model. The record is from RNAcentral.
GAUCAGGGCUCAGGAUGAACGCUAGCUACAGGCUUAACACAUGCAAGUCGAGGGGCAGCAUGGUCUUAGCUUGCUAAGGCCGAUGGCGACCGGCGCACGGGUGAGUAACACGUAUCCAACCUGCCGUCUACUCUUGGACAGCCUUCUGAAAGGAGGAUUAAUACAAGAUGGCAUCAUGAGUCCACAUGUUCACAUGAUUAAAGGUAUUCCGGUAGACGAUGGGG